Gasterosteus aculeatus aculeatus (three-spined stickleback) is the source of this 606-nucleotide long non-coding RNA. The record is from Ensembl. NCBI's taxonomy places the organism in Eukaryota, Metazoa, Chordata, Actinopteri, Perciformes, Gasterosteidae.
GUAAGCAGAAAUAAUUAUUCCUUAGUAUGUCCGUUGGUAUUAGCUCUGGCGGCAAAAAAAAGUAUCUUCUUUAACAACGGCAAAGGCUGUUGACAAAUCGUCACUCCGAUCCGAUCACACGAGUAUUUUUACGGCUAAACUACGGAUCCGCUGCUAUGUAAACCGCCAUUUUUAAUAUAGCCAUGAUCCCACUGAUAGAGCAUUGUGCAGGGGCGCUCACUGCUAGCUGGUUAGCUCUCCUUCAGACACACAGGCACACACGCAUAUAACCGACUCGUGUUUACCGUGUGGGGGUAUGCGCCUCUCUGUUCAAGCUAAAGUCAAAGCGGGAUCCCCACUGAAUGGCUUCUCCCUUUUCCCCGGGAACAACGAUACAAUGAACCGAUUGUUAUAAGAAACUGAAAAGCAAGCCAAGGAUGAGAAUGGUGGAGCCAUUGAACCGAAGCCAUUUCUGAUAACGUCACUGGAACAUGCUGUUAAGUGGGUAUUGCCAAACUAAUUCUCUGUAAGUAUGUUUCAAAAUUCUUGUUGUGGAUACUUAUACAGUUAUUGACUUUGAGAAUCUGGAAGUGUCAUUUGAUUUUAGAUGUUCGAAAUAAUAUUUGG